GACGAACGCUGGCGGCGUGCCUAAUACAUGCAAGUCGAACGAACUCUGGUAUUGAUUGGUGCUUGCAUCAUGAUUUACAUUUGAGUGAGUGGCGAACUGGUGAGUAACACGUGGGAAACCUGCCCAGGAAGCGGGGGAUAACACCUGGAAACAGAUGCUAAUACCGCAUAACAACUUGGACCGCAUGGUCCGAGCUUGAAAGAUGGCUUCGGCUUA
Molecule: ribosomal RNA, 216 nt
Filed under: uncultured bacterium
Lineage: Bacteria
Description: partial 16S ribosomal RNA
Rfam family: Bacterial small subunit ribosomal RNA
Source: RNAcentral